This 484-nucleotide ribosomal RNA is filed under the name uncultured bacterium. Its description in RNAcentral is "partial 16S ribosomal RNA". It matches the Rfam family "Bacterial small subunit ribosomal RNA", at positions 30 to 507 of the family's 1533-position model. The record is from RNAcentral.
AUUGAACGCUGGCGGAAUGCUUUACACAUGCAAGUCGAGCGGCAGCACGGGGGCAACCCUGGUGGCGAGCGGCGAACGGGUGAGUAAUACAUCGGAACAUGCCCAGUCGUGGGGGAUAACACUUCGAAAGAAGUGCUAAUACCGCAUACGUCCUGAGGGAGAAAGCGGGGGAUCGCAAGACCUCGCGCGAUUGGAGUGGCCGAUGUCAGAUUAGCUAGUUGGUGGGGUAAAGGCCUACCAAGGCAACGAUCUGUAGCUGGUCUGAGAGGAUGAUCAGCCACACUGGGACUGAGACACGGCCCAGACUCCUACGGGAGGCAGCAGUGGGGAAUUUUGGACAAUGGGGGCAACCCUGAUCCAGCCAUUCCGCGUGAGUGAAGAAGGCCUUCGGGUUGUAAAGCUCUUUCGGCAGGAACGAAACGGUGAGCUUUAACAUAGCUCGCUAAUGACGGUACCUGAAGAAGAAGCACCGGCUAACUACGUG